GCGACCCCAGGAUGGGCGAGGCUACCCGCUGAGUUUAAG
Molecule: ribosomal RNA, 39 nt
Filed under: Oncidium cirrhosum
Lineage: Eukaryota; Viridiplantae; Streptophyta; Magnoliopsida; Asparagales; Orchidaceae
Also listed under: 4 other names
Description: partial 26S ribosomal RNA
Source: RNAcentral